This 468-nucleotide ribosomal RNA is filed under the name uncultured bacterium. Its description in RNAcentral is "partial 16S ribosomal RNA". It matches the Rfam family "Bacterial small subunit ribosomal RNA", at positions 28 to 507 of the family's 1533-position model. The record is from RNAcentral.
GACGAACGCUGGCGGCGUGCUUAACACAUGCAAGUCGAACGGAAAGGCCCUGCUUUUGUGGGGUGCUCGAUUGGCGAACGGGUGAGUAACACGUGAGUAACCUGCCCUUGACUUUGGGAUAACUUCAGGAAACUGGGGCUAAUACCGGAUAGGAGCUCCUGCUGCAUGGUGGUGGUUGGAAAGUUUCGGCGGUUGGGGAUGGACUCGCGGCUUAUCAGCUUGUUGGUGGGGUAGUGGCGUACCAAGGCUUUGACGGGUAGCCGGCCUGAGAGGGUGACCGGCCACAUUGGGACUGAGAUACGGCGCAGAAUCCUACGGGAGGCAGCAGUGGGGAAUAUUGCACAAUGGGCGGAAGCCUGAUGCAGCAACGCCGCGUGCGGGAUGACGGCCUUCGGGUUGUAAACCGCUUUCGCCUGUGACGAAGCGUGAGUGACGGUAAUGGGUAAAGAAGCACCGGCUAACUACGUG